This 84-nucleotide small nuclear RNA is filed under the name Salmo salar (Atlantic salmon). RNAcentral's name for it is "U2 spliceosomal RNA". It matches the Rfam family "U2 spliceosomal RNA", at positions 1 to 83 of the family's 192-position model. From Rfam's summary of the family: U2 is a small nuclear RNA (snRNA) component of the spliceosome (involved in pre-mRNA splicing). The record is from Rfam by way of RNAcentral. Lineage: Eukaryota; Metazoa; Chordata; Actinopteri; Salmoniformes; Salmonidae.
AUCGCUUCUCGGCCUUUUGGCUCAGAUCAAGUGUAGUAUCUGUUCUUAUCAGUUUAAUAUCUGAUACGUCCCCCAUUCGGGGGA